This 674-nucleotide long non-coding RNA is filed under the name Chrysemys picta bellii (western painted turtle). RNAcentral's name for it is "lncRNA (ENSCPBG00000016315.1)". Lineage: Eukaryota; Metazoa; Chordata; Testudines; Emydidae. The record is from RNAcentral.
AAAGAAGGGAGCAAAACAGAUGAUAAGAGCUCUUGUUUCACCCCCCGCAGGGUGCCAGCUUGCCAGUGGUAACCUCGUGAUCUGCUGAUGUCAUCCUCACAAAGCAGCUACUUCUAAAGAGGGACCCCAAUGAAAUGUUAAGGAUUGGUGAUAAUGGACUCCAAAGAGAUCCCCCUCUUUGUCCAGAAGAAGAAUAGUUGCAAUGUGAGGACCUGAGGAUUGGGAAGUGUACAUGGAUAGUUCCCCAUGAAAGAAUACGACAGUCUACAAACUUGCAUGUGUCUCAAAACUCAAAUUGAUGGCUAAACAAAGAGCAAGAAGGAGGACUGUCUGUACUUUCUGGACAGAACUCUGUCUUGUAACCCAAGUACAUGCUGAGGUACUACAAUGAGGAGAGAUUUACAAAUGCCUGCACAUUUAAGAAAGGUUGUUUGUGACAGAGCUUCAGCAAUGCCCUGUGCUGAAUGUGAUUCAUGUAAGGCAUAUGCAGUGGGUUCCGAGUUUGAAAGGAGUGCAAUCAACAAUCUCAAGAAUAAGAGGUAUCUUGACUCAAAAAUGCUGAUGCAUGAAUGAACACAAUUCUCCGUGCACUGAUUUACUGUUUAGGUGACACAUGCACUGUAGCAACCACAUGUAAUCAAGUUCAGUGGCAUUCACAAGCAAAUUAUGUUGCA